Molecule: ribosomal RNA, 384 nt
Filed under: uncultured bacterium
Lineage: Bacteria
Description: bacterial SSU rRNA
Rfam family: Bacterial small subunit ribosomal RNA
Source: RNAcentral
GGCGGCAUGCUUUACACAUGCAAGUCGAACGGCAGCACGGGGGCAACCCUGGUGGCGAGUGGCGAACGGGUGAGUAAUGCAUCGGAACGUACCGUGUAAUGGGGGAUAACGAGUCGAAAGACUUGCUAAUACCGCAUACGCCCUGGGGGAAAGUGGGGGAUCGCAAGACCUCACGUACGAGCGGCCGAUGCCGGAUUAGCUAGUUGGUAGGGUAAAGGCCUACCAAGGCGACGAUCCGUAGCUGGUGAGAGGACGACCAGCCACACUGGGACUGAGACACGGCCCAGACUCCUACGGGAGGCAGCAGUGGGGAAUUUUGGACAAUGGGGGCAACCCUGAUCCAGCCAUGCCGCGUGAGUGAAGAAGGCCUUCGGGUUGUAAAGC